This 253-nucleotide ribosomal RNA is filed under the name uncultured bacterium. RNAcentral describes it as "partial 16S ribosomal RNA". It matches the Rfam family "Bacterial small subunit ribosomal RNA", at positions 524 to 776 of the family's 1533-position model. The record is from RNAcentral.
UACGGGGGGGGCAAGCGUUGUUCGGAAUUACUGGACGUAAAGGGUUUGUAGGCGGCUUGUUAAGUCAGACGUGAAAUCCCUCAGCUUAACUGGGGAACUGCGUCUGAUACUGGCGAGCUUGAGUGCAGGAGAGGAACGCGGAAUUCCAGGUGUAGCGGUGAAAUGCGUAGAUAUCUGGAGGAACACCGGUGGCGAAGGCGGCGUUCUGGACUGCAACUGACACUGAGAAACGAAAGCCAGGGUAGCAAACGGG